GGGCUUGAACCAAUCACAAUACCUAUAUCAGCCUUAAGUAGGCAAAGCAAGUCACCCACUGAACCUCCAAUAUAGACAGUCAACUGCUGGCCAUUAGUAUUGCGGUCCUUCAAUAUGUCAUUGAAAGCUUGAAGCUUUUCCAUUGGACACUCUACCCUCCUAAGAAUUUCACCAGUUGAAAUAGUUUCUUCAUAAGCCAACUCAUUUGAAUGUACUUGCAGAACAUUUAGAUCUCCUGAUGAAAAUGCUGAUCUUAUGAAAUCACCACACCAACAGUAUGAAAGGAUAUGAAUAUCAGUUUUUGAAUUUUCAUUUCUCACAAUCUUUUGGAAAAAACCUCUACAACCAUCUUGAAAAGCAAGUUGUUGACCAGCCUGUUUUAUAUCCUCCAAAUUUAAACCCUUCAAUACUCCUGACUGAAUCACUCUUGAAUUCGCCCUUUUCUCAAAGUCAGCAAGUUGUUCAAGAGCCUUACUCAGAUCUUCAUAACUAAAUUUUUCCACUGUUUCACUAGACAUGAUGCUUUCUAUGCAUUGAUCAUGUUCUUCAACAUACUGGGCUGAAAGAACACCCCAUGUGCUCCUCAAAUCAGCUGAUGACAUCUUAGAGAGUUUGGUUUCAUAUCCACUGAGAUCCAGCUUUGGAGCUGUUAUUAUUGCAAUUUCAGCUAAAACGGCAAAGGAAUCAACAGCAGUGCAUGUCAUGUCAAAAUCACAAAAUAUAGUGAGGUUGAAAUUGGCAGGGCUUUGCACCCGAGACAAAGGCACUAUUGUUUGCUGGACAAUUGGUUGAAUAGAGAAAAAAUCAACUCUAAGUUUCACAGCUUGAAGAUAUAGCCUUUCUAGGACCUCAAGCUCUACGCCUGUCAAAGAGAUGCUUAGUUUAUCCAGCAUGUCUUCUAUUUGCAGAGUUGAUGUCUCAAAGUUUUCAGAACAAUAAUAAUCAACCCACUUCUUGUAAAUGUGACUGCUGUCAUCCGGAUCAAUAAGAUGAUGUAUCUCUUUACAUAUAUGGGCAAAAAGUCUCAUGCAUGGUGCCAUAGCACCAAGUGUGUAAGCAGCAAGUUUUAUCCUCUCAAAAGGAGUUGCAAUUUUACCAGGAACUUUUUCUCCUUCAACUUUCCCUGAGGCUGUUGCUAGCAAGAAAUCUGUAUAUUUGGCAGUGGCAACAAUGGAAUUGCUCUCUGCUGGAAGUUCAAAGCCCCAUUCACGGACAAUAGUUUCGUAGUUUUUAAGCUUGUCUUUGACGCGUUUUCUCAACUUGCGAAUUGCGCUCUUGUCUUCAUCAUCAUCUGCGCAUUCUUCUGCCAGUUCGUACGCCUGAGCGAAUGCUUUGAGGAAAUGGACAUCUUGGGAGACACAAUUGAGGAAAGUGUGAGAGUCCAAAUUACCAGAGGCCAAGCUAAGAAAGAAAGGACUGUACAUAGCAAAAAUCCAGUCG
This 1440-nucleotide unclassified non-coding RNA is filed under the name Hevea brasiliensis (rubber tree). Lineage: Eukaryota; Viridiplantae; Streptophyta; Magnoliopsida; Malpighiales; Euphorbiaceae. The record is from RNAcentral.